Molecule: non-coding RNA, 3337 nt
Organism: Phalacrocorax carbo (great cormorant)
Lineage: Eukaryota; Metazoa; Chordata; Aves; Suliformes; Phalacrocoracidae
Source: RefSeq, a predicted model, not a curated record
GGUCAUUUGCAUAGUGGGUUCCGCCUCCCAGCCGGCAGGCCGCGGCCCCGCCCCGUCAGGGGAGCAUGGCGGCCCCCUGCGGGCCGGCAGCCCCGUGGGGGCGCCUCCCCCCCCCGCGCUCCCCGACAGCCGGCACGGUGACAUCGCGAGCGCCCUGCGAGGCCACACAGCCCCCGCGGGAGGAACGGGCUGCUGGGGUUCCUUGGGGGCCUCGGGGCGUGCCCUGGGCCUGGCCGGGGCCUGCCAGGCCUGGACCCCCGACCCCGGGCAGGGUUUAACGGAGAAACCGGGGCAGGCCGUCUCCUCACGGCACCCGGGAGCUGGCUGCGGCCACGUUUCGGCGUCCUGGUUAGCGCCAGGCAGUGGAACUGGAAACAGAGACGGUGUUGUCUCGGCUGGGCAACUCCACCCGGUUGCGUCUCCCCUCCAGCGGGGCUGCUGGUGGGCUUGAGGCCUGCGGGCCUUUCUGGUAGGCCGCUCUGCACAGGAGGAACUCUGCGAGCUUGGCUGAGUCACGCUCCUACAGAACCUGUAUAAGCUUAAAUGGCCUGAUGUGCAGUUUGAUUCUGAGCAUUUCAAAAUGACGCGGCUGUCAGUUCCCUUCAGCAGGAAAGGAGCCGAGCUUGGUGUGAGCAUCCAUCCUGCGGGCAGCCUGAGCGUGCGACUGACCUCUCCUUAGUCUGCCUACAUGACUGCAUCAGGCUGAAAAGCAGAAGCCGGAGUAACCGCGCAGAGAUUACAUUGUGCUAGGCGCUGCACGACUGCCCUGCAUGCAGAUCAGAGUGAUGCCAAGGAGGGUCGUAGAUCCGGCAGGUUUGGACUGACUUGACUUGAAAUCAAGGACAGCACUGGUGCAUUGCAAAUAAGAGCUUUCUGCUUUAAAAAGGGAUCAGCCAGCAAGAUUUUUCUUCCACUGUAAACAGGGCUCCCAGGAACUACAGUACAUCACCAUCAGGUUAAUGUAGCCUAGGUGAUUGCUUGCAAAAAGAAACGGCUGGAAACUAUGUGUUUAAAUUAAAUCAUAAAUCGACCUGGAUAUAAAACCUGUAGGAAACCUUCCAGUUCUUGAUCCUGGUGAGUUGUGAGAUUUAUUUGGUGUACUCAGGCCUUCUUGUUGUGCUGAGGGCGCCUGUUUUGGGAAAGGGAGGUGGGUACCUUUUUCCUGACCAGCUUUGCAGUCCUGUGUCAGGAUGGGAUCCUACACCUUGCUCCAGCUUGAGUUCCUGCUCUUGUGCAUGGAUGAGAUCUGUAAAGGCGUGAAAUCCCCUUGUCAGACCAGGCUUGUGGCUGUGCUGUACCUGCAGGGUGGCUUCAGCCCUCCACUUCUGCACUGCUUCUUUCUGCAUUCGGGAUCAGAGAGUUCACAAGGGCAACAGCUUCUGCAGACCUGCCUCCCUCAUGCAGCAGUUGGACCAGUGGCCCUCAGGGGGCUCUGCAAAGGCUUCGCCAAAGUUGACCCCGAAGGUUGGACAGUGCUCUAUGCAGCAAAAGCAGGACUCCUGGGCAUCAGAGCCAGCACAGGCUCAAUGGGGUCACGGUGCCCAAGCCAAAACAAGGCUGUGCCAUCCCAGGCCUAAGAAGCUGAAGGGAAAUACAAAAGCAAGGCUCUAGGACCAACACAGGACAUGAAACCAAACCCCUAAACCCUCCAUAGCCCUCCUUCCAAGCCAUUGCCUUGCUUUAAGCCCCAUGUGAAGCCAUCUACGUUGUGUUCCUUCAGUUAAUUCUCUUCUAUAUUCAGCUUUAUUACAUGAUGCAUUUCAAGUUUGCAAGUGAAACAGAUUUGGUAAUUAAAUACAUCCAUAUCUCGAUAUUUUUGAUUAUGAUAUCAAAAGUUCAGGUCUUUGACCCUCUUUCAGAGUACAGCAGGAGGCACGCAGCAUUGCCAACUCAUCCAAUUUUAUUAGCAGCCCCACAUAUCCAAGUUCACUUGUUUUCUUUUCCUUGAUGUUAUUUCGUAAGAAUCUCUAAUAUUCUUAGAGGCAGCAGCAUGUUUCUAGUAUUUAUGUUUUAGGAAAAAUUACAUAUUAAAAAAAAGCUUCUGAAUAUGAAACAAGUGCAUUCUGCUAAUAAAGAGGUAACAAAAGACCAGUUACAAAACAGAUUUAAACCUGAAAAAUCGCAUUUUUAAAUGCCUGUCGUAAUUUUUGAGUCUUAGCUCAUUUGUAAAAGCUGUGGUUUGGAUAUUUAUAUUGCUAGUCUAUGAUUUUUCACAGCCAGAGAGACCUGCCUGAUGUGCAGGACUGCAGAUCAGCGCAAUCCUGUAAACCUGCUGUGACUACAACAAAGUGACACUUGUACAAAAUAGGAAGUCACACAUAUGACUCCCCUCUCAUUUUUCAUUAGGAUAACCUGCUCAAAACACUAGUAUCUAUUACAGGCUGUUGAAUGUAUUGAAACUAAGUGAUCUCAGGGCUUUGAAAAAUCUUUAUUUUCCACUUUAAUAAACUGCAGCAAUUACUCACAGUUUUAUAUGUAAGACGGGAGCAAAUUAAGCAGAACCAGCAGAUACUGGAAGCUUUCAAAGGUCAGUCAUAAUUACCUAGUUUCACCUGGGACAGGAGAAGCUUGCAACAGUCUUGGGAAAUUAUUAGUUAGAAAACAAUAGCUGAUAUCACUUGAACUUUAUUAUGUACUCAUGUGCCAAGUUUAAGGGAGCCAGGAGUGGCAGAAAGAUUGGUAUAAUAGAAAGAAGAACAUUUGAAUCAAUCUAAAGAGCAUGUAACUGCAUUUUUUCAUGGAGCCAGCUAAUCUAUGCAAACCCAUAUACAUCUGCUGUGAUGGUUUGUGCCUGCUGCAUGACCGUUGCCUAACGCUGAAUGCAGUUGGGCGUAUAUAUUCCACUAUGCCACAUUGCCUCCCUGUUCCCAGCAAACAAAAGGAACUUUCCUGCAUCAGGAAGCAGCCUAUAAGCAGCACCUUGCUUCAGCCUUCCUCCUAGUUUUACUGUGUAAAGCAGUGCCUUCUAUUUGGAGAUUACCCCAUCGCCACGCAGCAGAGUGUGGGUGUUUCAGGAGCCCCAGAACACAUGAGAAAAGCCACCCUUGCAUAACAUGGCACGUGUAGGAGGCAAUAGGAUGGCUCUUUUUGAGCAUUAACAUGUUGCAAAUAUAACUGAGAUAAGGAGACAUUUCAUGUAACCUGUGCCCCUGGCACAAACUUCUCAUGAAUUUAGGCUAGCUGGUUUCACUUCUUUUUUUCUCCCAUAGCUGAUUUCAGUUGCUGUUUAUCACAUAGUAGCAUAAUUCUGUGAUGCAGAUUCCUGACAUUGCAAGGAAAGGGUCCAAAUACUUCUAUUCAUAUCAAAACUGCUAUUAAAAAAAGACUCAGAGUUAAA